Molecule: unclassified non-coding RNA, 303 nt
Organism: Otolemur garnettii (small-eared galago)
Lineage: Eukaryota; Metazoa; Chordata; Mammalia; Primates; Galagidae
Rfam family: Metazoan signal recognition particle RNA
About the family: The signal recognition particle (SRP) is a universally conserved ribonucleoprotein.
Source: Ensembl
AAUGGAGCUGAGCACAAUGGCACACCUCUGUGAUCCCAGCUACUCGGGAAUCUAAGGCAGGAGGACUGCUGAAGGCCAGAGUCCAGGAGCUUUGGGCCAUAGUGUGUUAUGUUUAUCAGGUGUUCACACUAAAUUUGACAUCAAUAUUGCAAAUUCCUGGGAACAGGGACCAGCAGUUUGCCCAAGGAGGAGUGAACCAGCCCAGGUCAGAAGCAGAGCAGGUCAGAACUCUCAUGCUGAUCAGUAGUAGGAUCAUGCCUGUCAACAGCCACUGCACUUAAGCCCAGGCAAUAUAGCGAGACC